CCAGACUCCUACGGGAGGCAGCAGUGGGGAAUAUUGGGCAAUGGGCGCAAGCCUGACCCAGCAACGCCGCGUGAUCGAAUGAAGGCCUUCGGGUUGUAAAGAUCUGUUGACAGGGACGAAUAAGCAAUGCGAAUAGUUUUGUGUAUGACGAUACCUGUUUAGAAAGCUCCGGCUAACUACGUGCCAGCAGCCGCGGUAAUACGUAGGGAGCAAGCGUUAUCCGGAUUCACUGGGUGCAAAGGGAGCGUAGACGGCGACGCAAGUCUGGAGUGAAAGCCCGGGGCCCAACCCCGGGACUGCUCUGGAAACUGCGUCGCUGGAGUACGGGAGGGGCAGGCGGAAUUCCUGGUGUAGCGGUGAAAUGCGUAGAUAUCAGGAGGAACACCGGCGGCGAAGGCGGCCUGCUGGACCGCGACUGACGUUGAGGCUCGAAAGCGUGGGGAGCGAACAGGAUUAGAUACCCGAGUAU
RNAcentral lists this ribosomal RNA (469 nucleotides) under uncultured bacterium. RNAcentral's name for it is "bacterial SSU rRNA". It matches the Rfam family "Bacterial small subunit ribosomal RNA", at positions 331 to 793 of the family's 1533-position model. The record is from RNAcentral.